RNAcentral lists this long non-coding RNA (1205 nucleotides) under Sorghum bicolor (sorghum). RNAcentral describes it as "long non-coding RNA (SBIC_LNC007326)". The record is from RNAcentral. Lineage: Eukaryota; Viridiplantae; Streptophyta; Magnoliopsida; Poales; Poaceae.
AUAUGAAAAAGUUAUGAAUUAUUUUUAAUAUAAAGUUUUUAGAUCACUUUGUUUUGACCUAGAUGAGACUUAAAAUCAAGUUUAGGGACUUGUAUGACACAACUGAACAAAUAUGAGGACUUAAACGGGUGAUUUCUAAAUUUAGGGACCGAGAUGACACAACUAAACAAGUUUAGGGACUGAGAUGAUACAGACGAACAAGUUCGAGGAUCUAAAUGGUCGAUUUACGAGUUUAGGGACUGGAAUGACACAUUAAUACAAGUUUAGGGACCGGUGGUGGACUUUACUCUAGCAUUUAAUUUAAUUAGUUUUGUAUAAGUGGCUUUGGAAUUUGUGUGGGAAAACUAAGUGUUUACGAACAGUAAAUAUAAAUGAAUUGUAAUGAUAGAAACCUUAUGUGUGGAUACCAUUUUUCUUCUUUGAGGCAUUCUCGUCGAGAUUUUUUUUUUCUACCCAAGCGUUUUUAUUUUUCCUCGUGACGUGCAUGGUGGUGUUUUCCUAGCGAUGCUUGAGUGGUUUUGCAAUGAGCGUGGUUUUGAGGUGGUUGUCGUACUGUUGCUCUUUAAUAACAUGGUAGUUUUUAUUUGUAUUUUCUACAGGCAUUGUUUAGUUCUAAAUUUUUUUUGAUUUUUGAUACUGUAGCAUUUUCAUUUUUAUUUGGCAAUUAUUGUCUAAUCAUGGACUAACUAGGCUCAAAAGAUUCAUCUCGUGAUUUACACAUAAACUGUGCAAUUAGUUUUUGUUUUCAUCUAUAUUUAAUGCUUUAUGCAUGUGUCGCAAGAUUCGAUGUGACAGAGAAUCUUGAAAAGUUUUCGGUUCUUGGGAUAAACUAAACAAGGCCUAGAUAUAUGCUUAUGUGUUGUAUUGGGUGAAAGGUCCUAAUAUGGCUAGAGGGGGGUGAAUAGCCUAUUUAAAAAUUCUACAAACUCACUAGAGCAAGAGGUUAGUAAAUAACAAAGCGAAGCUUUUUGCCCUAACUCUAAAGGGGUGUUUGCAAGCCACCUAUCUAACAAUUCUAGUUGCUACAAACACUAUGCACACAAGAACUAAGUCUCUACAAGUUACACUAGUGAACUAUGCUACACAAGGCAAAGUAAGCAACUAAACUAAUUACACUAGUUUGUGGUAAGUAAAGAUAGGAAGAGAUAUUCAUACCGUCGUGUAGAGGAUGAACCAAUCACCAAUAUAAACAAUCAAACAACGGG